Molecule: ribosomal RNA, 253 nt
Filed under: uncultured bacterium
Lineage: Bacteria
Description: partial 16S ribosomal RNA
Rfam family: Bacterial small subunit ribosomal RNA
Source: RNAcentral
UACAGAGGGUGCAAGCGUUAAUCGGAAUUACUGGGCGUAAAGCGUGCGCAGGCGGUUAUACAAGACAGAUGUGAAAUCCCCGGGCUCAACCUGGGAAUUGCAUUUGUGACUGUAUGGCUAGAGUGUGUCAGAGGGGGGUAGAAUUCCACGUGUAGCAGUGAAAUGCGUAGAUAUGUGGAGGAAUACCGAUGGCGAAGGCAGCCCCCUGGGAUAACACUGACGCUCAUGCACGAAAGCGUGGGUAGCGAACAGG